AUGGCGAUGCUUCGUGAUGUUUGGAUGCCAAGCAGCCAAUGCUAUUUCACAGGGCCACUUUGGCCGUCUUUUGAGGCGGAAAAAUUUGAGCUUAAGUCUGGUCUUAUUGCUUUGGUUCAACAACAUCAGUUUGGAGGAUUGCCUACUGAGGAUCCCUAUGAGCACUUACACCGAAUCAUGGAGUAUUUAGGUACAGUCAAGUACCAUGGAGUUCCUCGAGAUGCUAUCAAGUGCAUGCUGUUCACAUUCUCUCUCCGAGAUGAUGCUCGUGCUUGGUAUCGAUCCUUGCCAUCAAGAUCAUUCAAUUGGAACGAGAUAUCAUGA
Molecule: ribosomal RNA, 324 nt
Filed under: Triticum aestivum (bread wheat)
Lineage: Eukaryota; Viridiplantae; Streptophyta; Magnoliopsida; Poales; Poaceae
Description: partial small subunit ribosomal RNA
Source: RNAcentral